GGAUGUGAGGGCGAUUUAGCUGCAACAUCUGUCACCCCAUUGAUCGCCAGGGUUGAUUCGGCUGAUCUGCGUGGCUAGGCGGGUGUCCUCUUCCUCCCUCACCCCUCCAUGUGCGUCUCUCCCGAAGCUGUGGCUCAAUUGAAGAGGACGACCACCCCCCAUUGAGGAGGGCCGUUUCCUCCGUCAAUAGUAUACUACUAGCUGAGCUCCUCAGCUAGAGCCUCCAAACAAGCUCUCAAGGAGUCUGGACCAGGUUUAAUCAAAUCUCUAAGGAAUUGCAGCAGAGGGACAGGAAGCUGACAUCUGGAUGACAAUAU
Unclassified non-coding RNA from Fukomys damarensis (Damara mole-rat), 317 nucleotides. Its record names the gene 7SK. It matches the Rfam family "7SK RNA". Rfam says of the family: 7SK was discovered as an abundant small nuclear RNA in the mid-70s but a possible function has only recently been suggested. Two independent studies have found that 7SK RNA binds the CDK9/cyclin T complex (known as elongation factor P-TEFb). The record is from Ensembl. Lineage: Eukaryota; Metazoa; Chordata; Mammalia; Rodentia; Bathyergidae.